This 753-nucleotide ribosomal RNA is filed under the name Triticum aestivum (bread wheat). RNAcentral's name for it is "partial small subunit ribosomal RNA". The record is from RNAcentral. Lineage: Eukaryota; Viridiplantae; Streptophyta; Magnoliopsida; Poales; Poaceae.
AUGAAGCUGAACAUCGCGAACCCCACCACGGGGUGCCAGAAGAAGGUCGAGAUCGAUGACGACCAGAAGCUGCGGAACCUUUAUGACAAGAGAAUCUCCCAGGAGGUAGUUGGUGAUCUUCUGGGUGAGGAAUUCAAGGGUUACAUCUUCAAGAUCAUGGGUGGCUGUGAUAAGCAGGGCUUCCCAAUGAAGCAAGGAGUGCUAACUUCUGGGCGUGUCCGCCUUCUGCUUCACAGGGGCACACCUUGCUUCCGUGGGUUUGGCAGGCGCAACGGUGAGCGCAGGAGGAAGUCUGUCCGUGGUUGCAUUGUCAGCCAAGACCUGUCUGUUAUCAACUUGGUGAUUGUCAAGAAGGGUGAGAAUGAUCUGCCAGGUCUGACCGACACUGAGAAGCCCAGGAUGAGGGGACCCAAGAGGGCUUCCAAGAUCAAGAAGCUCUUCAACCUUGGCAAGGAUGAUGAUGUCCGCAGCUAUGUCAACACAUACCGCAGGACCUUCCUUAACAAGAAGGGCAAGAAGGUGAGCAAGGCUCCCAAGAUCCAGCGUCUUGUGACUCCCUUGACCCUUCAGAGGAAGCGCGCCAGAAUCGCAGACAAGAAGAAGAGGAUCGCCAAGAAGAAGUCAGAGGCUGCCGAGUACCAGAAGCUGCUUGCACAGAGGCUGAAGGAGCAGAGGGACCGCCGGAGCGAGAGCAUGGCCAAGAGGAGGUCGAAGCUGUCUGCUGCCACCAAGGCUCCUGCUGCCUCUGCUUAA